UCACUGGUGAUUCAUGAUAACUCCUCGAAUCGCAUGGCCUUGUGCCGGCGAUGGUUCAUUCAAAUUUCUUCCCUAUCAACUUUCGAUGUUUGGGUAUUGGCCAAACAUGGUUGCAACGGGUAACGGAGGGUUAGGGCUCGACCCCGGAGAAGGAGCCUGAGAAACGGCUACUACAUCCAAGGAAGGCAGCAGGCGCGCAAAUUACCCAAUCCCGACACGGGGAGGUAGUGACAAUAAAUACUGAUACAGGGCUCUUUUGGGUCUUGUAAUUGGAAUGAGUACAAUUUAAAUCCCUUAACGAGGAACAAUUGGAGGGCAAGUCUGGUGCCAGCAGCCGCGGUAAUUCCAGCUCCAAUAGCGUAUAUUAAAGUUGUUGUGGUUAAAAAGCUCGUAGUUGAACCUUGGGCCUGGCUGGCCGGUCCGCCUCACCGCGUGUACUGGUCCGGCCGGGCCUUUCCCUCUGUGGAACCCCAUGCCCUUCACUGGGUGUGGCGGGGAAACAGGACUUUUACUGUGAAAAAAUUAGAGUGCUCCAGGCAGGCCUAUGCUCGAAUACAUUAGCAUGGAAUAAUAGAAUAGGACGUGUGGUUCUAUUUUGUUGGUUUCUAGGACCGCCGUAAUGAUUAAUAGGGACAGUCGGGGGCAUCAGUAUUCAAUUGUCAGAGGUGAAAUUCUUGGAUUUAUUGAAGACUAACUACUGCGAAAGCAUUUGCCAAGGAUGUUUUCAUUAAUCAGGAA
RNAcentral lists this ribosomal RNA (738 nucleotides) under cf. Fusarium sp. LP-A2/3. RNAcentral's name for it is "SSU rRNA". It matches the Rfam family "Eukaryotic small subunit ribosomal RNA", at positions 240 to 983 of the family's 1831-position model. The record is from RNAcentral. Lineage: Eukaryota; Fungi; Ascomycota; Sordariomycetes; Hypocreales; Nectriaceae.